This 253-nucleotide ribosomal RNA is filed under the name uncultured bacterium. RNAcentral describes it as "partial 16S ribosomal RNA". It matches the Rfam family "Bacterial small subunit ribosomal RNA", at positions 524 to 776 of the family's 1533-position model. The record is from RNAcentral.
UACGAGAGGCCCAAACGUUAUUCGGAUUUACUGGGCUUAAAGAGUUCGUAGGCGGCGCAGAAAGUAGGGUGUGAAAGCCCUCGGCCUAACCGAGGAAUUGCGCUCUAAACUACUGUGCUUGAGGAAUCUAGAGGUGAGCGGAACUGAUGGUGGAGCGGUGAAAUGCGUUGAUAUCAUCAGGAACACCGGAGGCGAAGGCGGCAUCCUGGACCGGCAUUGACGCUGAGGCGCGAAAGCUAGGGGAGCAAACGGG